This 800-nucleotide ribosomal RNA is filed under the name uncultured bacterium. RNAcentral's name for it is "bacterial SSU rRNA". It matches the Rfam family "Bacterial small subunit ribosomal RNA", at positions 8 to 821 of the family's 1533-position model. The record is from RNAcentral.
AGAGUUUGAUCCUGGCUCAGAAUGAACGUUGGCGGCGUGGAUUAGGCAUGCAAGUCGAACGAGAUCUGUAGCAAUACAGUGAAAGUGGCGAAAGGGAGAGUAAUACGUAGGUACCUGCCCUCGGGUCCGGGAUAGCUGCGGGAAACUGCAAUUAAUACCGGAUGAUGUCUCUGGACCAAAGGUGUGAUUCCGCCAGAGGAUGGGCCUGCGUCCUAUCAGCUAGUUGGUGUGGUAAUGGCGCACCAAGGCUAAGACGGGUACGGGGUGUGAGAGCAUGCCCCCGCUCACUGGGACUGAGAUACUGCCCAGACACCUACGGGUGGCUGCAGUCGAGAAUCUUCCGCAAUGGGCGAAAGCCUGACGGAGCGACGCCGCGUGUGGGAUGAAGGCCUUCGGGUUGUAAACCACUGUCAGUGGGGAGCAAGUGCAUCAGGGUUAUCCCUGGUGUUUGAGCGAUCCGCAGAGGAAGCACAGGCUAAUUCCGUGCCAGCAGCCGCGGUAAUACGGAAUGUGCAAACGUUAUUCGGAAUCACUGGGCUUAAAGAGUCCGUAGGCGGCCUGUUAGGUGAGGUGUGAAGUCCCCCGGCUCAACCGAGGAAUUGCGCUUCAAACCGGCAGGCUCGAGGGAGAUAGAGGUGGACGGAACUGAUGGUGGAGCGGUGAAAUGCGUUGAUAUCAUCAGGAACACCGGAGGCGAAGGCGGUCCACUGGGUCUUUUCUGACGCUGAGGGACGAAAGCUAGGGGAGCGAACGGGAUUAGAUACCCCGGUAGUCCUAGCCUUAAACGAUGAGCACUAGAC